This 339-nucleotide long non-coding RNA is filed under the name Trifolium pratense (red clover). RNAcentral's name for it is "long non-coding RNA (TPRA_LNC010371)". Lineage: Eukaryota; Viridiplantae; Streptophyta; Magnoliopsida; Fabales; Fabaceae. The record is from RNAcentral.
UAUGUUUUUGAAUUGCAGAAACAACUUUGUCUUUUAAAUAUUAUUGUAUCUAGAAAUUUGGUUGAUAAAAUUCCCUCCAAAAUUUUGCCUAGGCUCUCUAAUAUUACUGGAAUCGCCACUGCAUGCACCGCAUGGGUCAAAGUUCUAGUUUACUUUAUAUUUUCUCAAUAGACAUGUAACUUUAUUACGUGUAUAAAAGACAUGGACAAAAAUACAUUACUUGACAAGUAAUUCGCGACUAAAAUAUUAAAGCACCUUUAAAAUGUUACUAAAAGAAAUAUAGUAAGUGAUUGUUUUUAAUAGAAAUAGAAUUUAUGCUUCAAAAAAAAAAAUAGAAAU